AGCAUUGAUCCAAUUAAAAAAAAAGAAGAAGAAAAUGUUUGAAGUUUUAUGUGUUUUCUAUAUGUAUAGUACCAUUUUUUUAUGGAUUCUGAACUUCUUGUCUUUGACAAUAUUGGCUAUACAAGAUAAAAUGGUUCAUUUUUAUUUCUUAUGCCAUUAUGCUGUGUACUGUCUAUUUAAAUGGUUUUAUGGAUCCCUUUUUUG
Molecule: unclassified non-coding RNA, 204 nt
Filed under: Hevea brasiliensis (rubber tree)
Lineage: Eukaryota; Viridiplantae; Streptophyta; Magnoliopsida; Malpighiales; Euphorbiaceae
Source: RNAcentral